ACCCUAUCUGGCAGCUCUGCAUCAGCUCGGUUCCGCUGAUGGUGCAUGUCAAUUUUAAAUCCGAAGUCGUACGACCAACCCCUCGGGCGUCCGCCGCCGAACGCAGCCAAGCAAGAGAGACUGAGAUCGAAGCAGCGGAGGAGACUGAACGGGGGAGAAGAUGAGCGCGAUAGGAGGCUCAAUUUUCUUGCAAUCUGCACUCUGCCAAUCCUCGCCGUCCUCUCGCUACUGUUCUCCAUUGAUGUAUCCUUCUCACAGGAAAGUUGCCCGGAAGAGAAGGGCAUCGGUCAUUUCUUAUUUUUGGAAUGGCGGAAGGUCAUUCGAUGAGAGAUAUUCCGUCCGAAGGAGGGUUGUUCUAUUGGUUGGCAUCUCUGUUUUUCCCUUAUUGCAGUUCAGAGAGGUAGCUGCUGAAGAGCCGGUGGAAGGAACUAAAUUGAGAGAAUCUAAUAUAGAUACUUCAGAUUCUAGAGCGACUGCAAUAGAAUCUCAAGUCCCUAGAGCUGCUGAAAAUGAUGUCGGAGUACAAUUUCCUACGAUAAAAAAACAGGAAUUUCCUUCUCAACAGCAUAAGCAAGCGAAGGGUGAUGCCAAAGAAAAUAGUGGUGGAAGUUCAUUUGUAUCAUUCAUAAAUGGGAUUGGAAUAAUUGGGUCAGGUGUGCUUGGUGCAUUAUUUUCUGCAUCACAGAGGGAGAAGAAGGCACUGGAAUCCACUAUAGAUUCUAUGACAGCUCAGGCAAAUGAUCAGGAAAUAGCUGCUGCUUUGAUGAAGAAAAGUUUUGAGACUAAAUUAUUGAAUGAACAGGAAGAUUACCAGAGACAGCUUAGGAAGUUAAAGGAUGAUGAAGCAUCGCUGUUAAGUCAAUUAACUUCUGCCAAGGAUGCAGCAGCAGCUUUAGGUCGAGAACUCAAUGAUGAGAAAAAGUUUGUUGAGGAGCUCAUAUCACAAAGAGGCCAACUUGAACAUUCUUUGACACUAGCUAGGGAGGAUAAGAAGUUACUUGAAGAUGAAAUCCACAAAAAGGUAGGCAGAAUUACUUCUUUGCAGGAUGAAUUAAGCCAUCUUUCAUUAGAAAAUAAUGAAAAGAUGUCCAACAUCCAAAACCUCAAAUCAUUGCUAGCUAAAACAGAAUCAGAAUGCAAGAAUAUGAGCUCUGCUUUGGAACAGGCAAGGUUCAACCUUGCAACAGCAAAUUCCAGGAUUGAGCAGUUGAAAGAAGACAUCAACAUGGUCAGAACAGAUUCCAAUUCAAAGGAUUCAAUUAUAGACGACCUACAUGAAAAAAUUAAGUCUCUAACUGAAGAAAAGAAUGAUUCUAAUAUCAAAUUUUAUGAUCUUAUGAAAGAAUACAAUGCUUUGGUUUCCUACUCAGAGAGAACAACUGUCCUUAAUUCUGAACUGUUGUCCAGAAAAGAUGAACAGCUACAACAACUGGAUGAAAAUCUUAAAAUUGCUUUGAAUGAAGCGAGUAGCAAGCACGCAAUAAUCUCUGAGUUGACAAUAGAAAGGGAUAAUGCAAUUAUGCUACUGGAGAAGGAAAAGAAUAAUAUAUAUAAAUUAACAAAUGAGCUCCAGAGCGCCCAAGAAAUGUUAGAUGCUUCAGAAGCAAAGGUUUCUCAUACGUCCAAAGAACUAACGGAGACCAGAACUGCCUAUGAGGAAGUUAUGUCCACUAUUUCUAAGAUGCAAAAUGAGUAUGACCAGACAAGGCAGUUAAUGAAUUAUAACCUGGAAGAGGCGAAGGCUACUUCAAUGAUUCUUUCGGAUAAACUUGAAUCAGCCAAGGUGGUCCUUAAGCAUACAGAAGAAGAGCUUGUUUCUGCAUCUAAUGAAUUGAGAGCCGCUAUCGAGGAGCGUGAAAGCCUGAAGAUGGAAUUGGUUGAUAACUAUCAAAAGAUCCAAACAACAUCGAAUCAGCUACAAGAGGAAAGGAAGACAGUUACCAACUUGAAUAAAGAGCUCGAGGCAUUACAGAAGCAAAUUCUGAAAGACUCGGAAGCACGGAGAAGCCUUGAAGCUGACUUAGAUGAGGCUACCAGAUCACUCGAUGAAAUGAAUAAGAGCGCGUUGUUGCUCUCUAAAGAACUAGAGAAUACUAAUUCUAGGAGUGCUAGCCUAGAAACAGAAAAGGAGAUUCUCUACAUGUCUUUGAUUGAACAAAAGAAUAUAGCGAAAGAUUCGCUCGAAAAUAUGCAGGAUGCUGAACAUCUCAUUUCUAGGCUUGGUAGUGAGAGAGAGAAGCUAGAGAAGAGGUCGAAAAGGCUUGAGGAAGAACUGGCGGCUGCUAAGGGUGAAAUAUUGAGAUUGAGGAGGAAGGUUAGCGUAGGCCAAGGAUCCAUUAAUGAGCAUCAUUCAAAAUCUAAUGAAGUUCCAGCAGGCGCACCAUUCUCGGUCAAAAGAAAUGUUGGUCGAAGAAAAAAGCAAUCAUUGGGUUCUGACGAUUCAUGAUACGAUUGUUUGAUUAAAUCAACCCUUCCAUAACCAACCCUUGGUUGGAGCCUUGUGGUAUACCAUUUUCUGUUCUAUCAUCAAAUGAUUGACGUUUAAUUCGACCAAACCAUAAGCCGACUUUCUAAUUUUGUCCAGCAUUGGAGCUACACCAACCCUUCAACAAAUAUAUCGUUUCACACUUUGUCUCCAAGUGACUAAGGUAUAGGGAGAAUAUUUUCAUUCUCAAACUAGAGUAAAAUAAGUGUAGUAUUACAUAGAAUUUGUGCCUUUUUUGCUUUCCAUCCUUGUCCCCACCUUUAAACUUUGC
Phalaenopsis equestris is the source of this 2756-nucleotide RNA transcript. It is a transcript of the gene named MAR-binding filament-like protein 1, with no coding region annotated. Lineage: Eukaryota; Viridiplantae; Streptophyta; Magnoliopsida; Asparagales; Orchidaceae. The record is from RefSeq and is a predicted model, not a curated record.